This 24-nucleotide non-coding RNA is filed under the name Arabidopsis thaliana (thale cress). Lineage: Eukaryota; Viridiplantae; Streptophyta; Magnoliopsida; Brassicales; Brassicaceae. The record is from RNAcentral.
GAAAACGCUGGUCAUUCGGUUGGA